AGAACUUAGCAGAGAUGCUUUGGUGCCUUUCGGGAACUCUGAGACAGGUGCUGCAUGGCUGUCGUCAGCUCGUGUUGUGAAAUGUUGGGUUAAGUCCCGCAACGAGCGCAACCCUUAUCCUUUGUUGCCAGCGGUUAGGCCGGAACUCAAAGGAGACUGCCAGUGAUAAACUGGAGGAAGGUGGGGAUGACGUCAAGUCAUCAUGGCCCUUACGAGUAGGGCUACACACGUGCUACAAUGGCGCAUACAAAGAGAAGCGACCUCGCGAGAGCAAGCGGACCUCAUAAAGUGCGUCGUAGUCCGGAUUGGAGUCUGCAACUCGACUCCAUGAAGUCGGAAUCGCUAGUAAUCGUGGAUCAGAAUGCCACGGUGAAUACGUUCCCGGGCCUUGUACACACCGCCCGUCACACCAUGGGAGUGGGUUGCAAAAGAAGUAGGUAGCUUAACCUUCGGGAGGGCGCUUACCACUUUGUGAUUCAUGACUGGGGUGAAGUCGUAACAAGGUAAGCGUAGUGCU
This 517-nucleotide ribosomal RNA is filed under the name uncultured bacterium. RNAcentral describes it as "bacterial SSU rRNA". It matches the Rfam family "Bacterial small subunit ribosomal RNA", at positions 992 to 1509 of the family's 1533-position model. The record is from RNAcentral.